Molecule: ribosomal RNA, 146 nt
Organism: Bacillus coahuilensis p1.1.43
Lineage: Bacteria; Bacillati; Bacillota; Bacilli; Caryophanales; Bacillaceae
Rfam family: Bacterial small subunit ribosomal RNA
Source: Rfam
UUUAUGGAGAGUUUGAUCCUGGCUCAGGACGAACGCUGGCGGCGUGCCUAAUACAUGCAAGUCGAGCGAGGCCUUCGGGCCUAGCGGCGGACGGGUGAGUAACACGUGGGUAACCUGCCUGUAAGACUGGGAUAACUCUUCUCCCU